CAUGCAAGUCGAGGGGCAGCGGGAGCGAAGCUUUGCUUUGCUUGCCGGCGACCGGCGCACGGGUGAGUAACACGUAUGCGACCUGCCCCUACAGGGGUAUAACCCGUAGAAAUGCGGACUAAUCCCCCAUAGUCCCGUUGGCUGCAUGGCCAUCGGGGAAAGGUCAGCCGGUAGGGGAUGGGCAUGCGGCGCAUUAGCUAGUUUGGCGGGGCAACGGCCCACCAAGGCGACGAUGCGUAGGGGUUCUGAGAGGAAGGUCCCCCACACUGGUACUGAGACACGGACCAGACUCCUACGGGAGGCAGCAGUGAGGAAUAUUGGUCAAUGGGCGCAGGCCUGAACCAGCCAAGUCGCGUGAGGGAAGACGGUCCUACGGAUUGUAAACCUCUUUUGUCGGGGAGUAACGUGCGGGACGCGUCCCGUAUUGAGAGUACCCGAAGAAAAAGCAUCGGCUAACUCCGUG
RNAcentral lists this ribosomal RNA (463 nucleotides) under uncultured bacterium. RNAcentral describes it as "bacterial SSU rRNA". It matches the Rfam family "Bacterial small subunit ribosomal RNA", at positions 54 to 507 of the family's 1533-position model. The record is from RNAcentral.